UGGGGAAUUUUGCGCAAUGGGGGAAACCCUGACGCAGCGACGCCGCGUGAAGGAUGAAGGUCUUCGGAUUGUAAACUUCUUUUGUCGGGGAAGAUAAUGACGGUACCCGAUGAAUAAGCCACGGCUAACUCUGUGCCAGCAGCCGCGGUAAGACAGAGGUGGCAAGCGUUGUUCGGAAUUACUGGGCUUAAAGGGCGCGUAGGCGUCCCGGUAAGUCAGAUGUGGAAGCUUUCCGCUUAACGGGAAAAUUGCAUCUGAUACUGUCGGGAUUGAGUCAGCGAGGGGAUGGCGGAAUUCCAGGUGUAGCGGUGAAAUGCGUAGAUAUCUGGAGGAAGGCCGGUGGCGAAGGCGGCCAUCUGGCGCUGAACUGACGCUGAGGCGCGAAAGCGUGGGGAGCAAACAGG
This 404-nucleotide ribosomal RNA is filed under the name uncultured bacterium. Its description in RNAcentral is "bacterial SSU rRNA". It matches the Rfam family "Bacterial small subunit ribosomal RNA", at positions 355 to 776 of the family's 1533-position model. The record is from RNAcentral.